Molecule: unclassified non-coding RNA, 326 nt
Filed under: uncultured fungus
Lineage: Eukaryota; Fungi
Description: partial contains 5.8S ribosomal RNA and internal transcribed spacer 2
Rfam family: 5.8S ribosomal RNA (bases 1-133)
Source: RNAcentral
UGGUUCCCGCAUNGAUGAAGAACGCAGCGAAACGCGAUAGUUAAUGUGAAUUGCAGAAUUCAGUGAAUCAUCGAGUCUUUGAACGCACAUUGCGCCUUUUGGUAUUCCGAGAGGCACGCCUGUCUGAGCGUCAGCAAAACCCUUCGGCAGUAAUUUAUUGCCGGCGAUGGCGGGGGAGUUCUCCUCGGAGGCCCUCCGCUUAAACCCAAUGGCGAGGCGAACGGAUUUGCCAGCAAUAGUAGAAAUAUCUUUGCCGUAAAAAUCCCGCCGCACCUGCCUAAAGCCACCAAAUUUUUGACCUCAGAUCAGACGAGGAUACCCGCUGA